UUUGUCGGUUGAUGGGACGCGACGGGCAAACACGGAUCGGAAUGGGGAAAAAGGGGAUGCGAAAGGGGUAAGCGUUCGCUGGGGAAAUGGUGUACGUAAUAAAGAGGGCGCUGAAAGAGAAAGAGGAGGAGAUAAUUCAACAAGAAGGGUGUGUGCGUGGAAAAGUGGGUAAUGAAAGGGUGGCAAAAGGGUGAAAAUAAAAGAGGUGAGAGUAAAGGAAGAAGCUGUGUUAAUGUGUCAUAGAGGGAGAAAGAGAGAGACAGAGAUUAGAUGAGGGUGAGUGCGAAUGAGAAGGAAGGAUGAAGAAAAAAGAAGAGUUGCGUGUGUAUAAGGGUGGUAAGAAAUUGUCCUCUUUGGGGCAGGAAGGAAAAUCCAUUAGCACCGGCAAAUUGACUGGUGAAUUUCCUCGGUUCUAUAAAAAUUGUGCCGCCAGAAUGAUACGAACGAAAAAUAUUAAUUUUUGGACGAGAACUCGCGAGAUCAUUGAAUCUCAUUUGCACUGCGCUUGGACGUCACAUCGUUGGAAUAUGGAAUUUCGCGUUGUUUAUAAACGACAGUUACGCGUUUUGACGUUGUACACAGUCUCAACAAGGAUUCAAUUUACAACAUUCUCAACAAGUCAUCAAAUUCCACGAGAAUCAGCGAGGCCGUAAUUUAGAAGCGACUCAAGGUGAUCCUGUUACGUUGCUGAACCCGUGCAAUGUUCUAUCCGCGGCGAACACAAUCGGUCGACGAGAAAUUCAUUUCACCUGGAUAAGUAACGGUGGAAAAAUGGCAUCGACAGCGGGUAUGAGGCAUUUCCAAUCUCUGGCUGUCCUUUCCGCCGGAUCACAGGCAAAACGACCGCGGCCAGAGAACCGUUAGCAAGAGAGAAAACGCGAAUCGCGAUAAGCUAGUGUAUCGAUUCGAUUUAAGCAUUAUGCCAGCAGCAGUACACUAUGGAAAAAGUACAUCGCCGAUAAACGGUUGGAGAAACCAGGUUUAUUGUUUUUAUUCACCUCACCUAUACCGCUUAUCCAUUUUGCGCCCUUCGUCGUUACGAAUGCCGAUACGAGGUCGAGGAGUACGAUUAUGCCUCCUAGAGGCUAGUUGCUGCAAUGCUUAUUAUCUCUUUGAACUACAUCCGUGGUGAAUAUCUAUUGGAUUUUGAGAAUUCUUAGAUGUAAUUGAAAACUCGUCUCAACGUUAUAAAUACUAGAAUUUUCUUUUCUUAGCGUUCGAUGUUCUCAACUUUUAAAUUUGAGAACAUAUUAAUAAAGAAUUUUUGCCGAAUAUUUGAAAUCCCUUAAUGCGAUAGAAUUAUUAUCUGAACUCUAUCGAUAUUAAAAUUCGUUUCAGCAUUCUCUUUCUUGCUCUAUAAUUCGUCGAGGAUUUCUACUACAUUUUCUGGAAUUCUUAGAUGAGAUUGAAAAUUGUUAAUUUUAAUUUUAGCGUUAUAAAUGCCAGAUUCCUCUUUUAAUUUACAAUGCUACAGACAUAAUUCUUGAUUUCCAAUUAAUUUUGUCAAAUUUUCUAGAAAAGCUGGAUGACUCGUGCUGUUACAUUAAUUUUAUCGCUACUAUCAUUCCACGAAAGAAGAGUAAAUAUAAAAAUAUAAAUCACGUGUCUUAAAUUUGCAUCAUAUAAUUC
RNAcentral lists this unclassified non-coding RNA (1629 nucleotides) under Bombus terrestris (buff-tailed bumblebee). Its description in RNAcentral is "misc RNA ENSBTSG00005035045.1". The record is from RNAcentral. Lineage: Eukaryota; Metazoa; Arthropoda; Insecta; Hymenoptera; Apidae.